ACUUAGUAAGAGCUCCUUAACAACUUAAAGCUUUAUCCCUCUGAGUACCAGAAAAGUGAUUUGAGUAGUUAUUGAGCAGGGAGAAUAAACUGCUUGCUCCGGGCAGGGAGAAAGCUUAUGGAAAUGAUAUUAGACCUUCAGCAAAGUGCACAGCUGCAUCAUACAGAAGCCGAGACUCAAAUUGACAGGCAAAUAAGCCAGAUCACGGAAGGGGCCUCUGUGUGGCAGCUCUGAGCUCCCAAGUGUUGGACAACUAGGCAAAAAGUGCACUGGAACAGGGCAGAAAAUAGCACACUAACUUCAGGCAACUGUUGCAUUUUCAUGGCCUGGAAAGUGACGUUUUCUGUAGAUGUCAACUUCUGUCUGGUGUGAUGCUCUGUUCUUCUGGUGAUGUCACAUGCAGCACUGAGUAAUAUUGGUAAAUGGAAGAGGUCUCUUAGAAUAAGGUGUCUGCCUACCAGUCAGUUUUGCAGCGGGAUCAUUUGUAUCGCUUCACUAACUGCUGGGUGUCUAUGGGAGGCACAUGAGGCUUCCACUGCAGCGCCUGUGAACUCUCACAACUCUAGAAAAGGACAACAAGGGAGAUGUUGGAGAGUGGUACAGGCAGUGAAAUGUGGGUCAAUACUUGAUGGUGGUUCUAAGAAAGGACAAGAAAGGCCAAGAGAAGCCAAUUUUGGGAGCAUGCUCAUUGUGAUACCCUCAGUGGCUUCUAACAGGGUUUCCUUGGAAGAAUUAUCAUGUUGGAAUGCAAAGAUUACUGUUUCAAUACAUACUCGUCAGGGCUGAGAUUGUAACUGAUCAGUGAAAGAAAAAAAUUCAAAAGAAAAAGGAAACUGAAGAAGUUAAUUGUACCAGAGCAGAAUCCAGCGAAGAUCCAUUUGUGAAUGAAGGGGACUGAGAAAAUGUUGGAGCCCGUAAUGCCUAGGCAUAGAGGAAGAGGCUCAUCCACACAAGACUCACUGACUUAAAGAGGAGCCAAAAACCCUCAUCAGAAGAGUUAGUUCCCUCUAGCCAUGUUUGCAGUGGUGGGACUCCAGCUCAGAGAGGAUUGUACUGCCUAGCUGCUCCUGGAGGUCUGUGGAAAAGGAACAUGGCCACCACUUCCCAGGAGCUUGGCUGAGGCUGCCACCAUACUCAGAUUAAGCCUUCCAAGGCCUUUGGUCAAGCAAUGGGAGUCUCAGAAGGCAUGAAAAGUAUUGACCAGUUUUCUAACCUAACAACUUCUCCAGUCCUAGAAGAAAAUGCUCCAGUCCUAGUUCUGGACUCCAGGGAAACUAGGAAAUGAAGUUGUGGCUUGGAGUCAGUCAUUAUUUAUGGCAUUUGGCACAUAAAACCCUGAUGAACCAGAAACAAAAUGAAAGAAAGGAGAACUGUAAACAAGGUCUUUCAGUGCUAAUUUUAACUCCAGGAUGACAAAUAGAGGUAUAGCAAUACAACAACUACAGCAACUUCAAUCAUUUUCCUAUAUUUAGUACCUCAAAAUUCAAGUUGACAGGUAUGCCUCACCUAAAUUCUGAUGCGUGUCAUCUCCUGAUUUAUGAGUGCUUGGUUUUGCAGAACAAAUAAAAUUCUCCCCGUUACUUAAUGGUGCUGAAGAUAUUUCUUCUCUUACCUUUCGUUAUCUUCUUUUUCUGUUGCUACUCAUAUCUGUCACCAGUCAUGUCUUUAAAUCCUUCCAUAGAUAACCUGUUCUAUGACUUUCUGAAGCUUCUAUUUUAUGUCACAGUGUUUUUUCCCUUUGCUUUCUAUAUCAUUGGUGUACAAUCUCCAGAGUAUCAAGCAACUUACAGAGUGGCUUGAAAAGCUGAAUCACAUUGAACUCAAUGUCUGAGAGUCAGUAUUCUUUGCAACUGCUAAUAGCUUUGAGCAAGCCAGUUUAUUUUUCAGUGUUUCACUUUCUUCCCCUGAUUUCUAGUAAUGCAGAUAGAGUUCUCUUUUCUGAGCAAAAUGUAAUCUGGUAGAUAGCAAAUUGGGUUGGUAGCAGGAAAAGGGGAGAGCUUUCAUCAUAAGAAUAAAAUGGACCUAAAGGUUUUAUAAAUUAAAGGCCAAUUAUUCCCAGGAGUGCAUGGGGAGCCUUCCACAGCAAUCACUCUUGAGAAUCUGAAGGCAGAACAGGGCCUCGACCAUCUGUAUUUGGACUUUGUCAGGCCAUUUGUUUGUAACCGGAAUUGUAUUGUUGCUCUGGUUUUCAGUAAAGGGAUGUUCACUGAGGCAUCACAUUGAUAUUUUUGAAGUACGUUCCAUGUUUUCAAAGAAACAAAUUUAUCAGCAAUGAAUUGAAAUGUCUAGCUGUUUCCGUAUGCUGUAGAGAUUUCACAUCAUGCUGCUGUGCAUGUGCAUUCAUUUUUCACCUGCUGGAUGUAAUGGGAACAAGUUCAAUACAUGAAUGAAAGCAUGUUAACAAGGAAGUGAUUUGGCCAAACCAUGCUUCUUCCUCCUAACAGAUAAAAAAAGCCCUGAAAAAACAAAGGCUGAAGGCACAAGCUUGUUUUCAUUAAUCAUAAAUCAGAGACGAUCCCCAAAUAGUAUAGUAGGAGGCAAUGUUGACAGUAGACCUGUGGGAUUUUAACAAACUCGGCUCCUGUUCUUUGUUUUACCUAUAUCUAGGUUAACUACUGUCUGAAAGAGCUUUGUGGGAAAAUCUCAUCUUAUUAUCUUAAAUAAAAAGAGCUGACUAUUUGUGGAAAAACUCAUCAGGCUUUCAUUUUCAAGUUCUGUACAAGGCUGACCCUUUGUCUGAAGUAUUAAAAAUCCCACAGUGGAUGUAUAAAUUAUGGCCUAUAGUAAGGACUUUGGGACAUUCCACUGAGUAUGUUCACAAAAUUUGAGUAAGGCUGUUGUUCCAGAUGAUGCAUGUGGCUCACAAUCCUGAGAGCUGAAAAGCUCCCUGCAAGACCAAGAGGCCAACCAGACUGAUUCUUUGGACUUUGAACCUCCAAUGUUACCUGCUAAUAUGGCACAUAGAGCCAUGAUUGAAAGUGUCUGGGUACUAUGAGCAACACCUAUACUUCUGGGACCAACAGACCUCAGUCUGCAUCAUGGUUGACAGGAUUGCAAUAUCUGGUAUAUUUUCUGCAGUAUUUCUCAGCAAAAAGAGCAAGGCUAGAGAUGAAAAUUCGAAAAACCUCUUAAUGGAGUAUUUUAAAGUCUAGGAUCACAGCUUUUGAGGUCCCUAGUACCAAUGAAACAACCAACUAGUUACUGGGGGUCAGAAGGAGAAAAGAGGAAGAGAGGGAAAGGAAACUACAUUGAAGGAAGGUGAUUCUGUUUGGAAAAAAUGUCUCAUACAGUUUGGCAACUCUUACCAUGCUGUUGCCAACUUGCAAGUUCAUAUGAGGUUUACAGCAAGUUACAGGAAGAAUAAAAUGUUAAUCAUGUGCAGAACCUUAGUUGUAUUCUCGCCAUCUAUUUCAACAACAGUAAUAACAUACAGACUAAGAAGUGAUUACAGAAUGACAUAAGCUUCUUUUCCAUUUGAAUUUGAAAAUGUAUUUCCAUUUAAAGCUUAAUUUUUAUGUGCUUCAUCCAAAAUUAAGAAAACAAGAGGAUGUGAUUUCCAAGCACUAUAUAUAGGCUGGAUCUGGUGUCAAGUUUUUCUAACAGUUAUUAGCUGUGUUAAAAGCAGUGACUUUUAACACAGUAUCUAAAAAAAAAACUUACCAGCAUUUUAUGGUGGCUUAAAAAAAAUACAAAGGACAACAAGUUGAAACAUGGGGAAGAUCAGUGACAAAGGUACUUAGUCAACAAAAGACUUAACUGCAUGUUGCAGAUUGUAUCUUCUUACAAAAGCCUUUCAUUAAUGAACUAUGUGUUAGAAAGUCUGUUCAGCUGAUUAAACUUUUCUAUAUCUGAAAUUGUUUAUGAGUUAUAAUUACCUCCUUCAAAACCUUCUUUCUUCUUGUAACUGGCUACAGACUUGAUGAAAAGUAUUCGGUCUUUUCCUGUCACACAAUACAAAUGGUGUGCUAAUUUUUGCCCAUGGAAAAACUAUGCUUUCAAAUACAACAAACAUCUUUAUUAUCACCUUAGUAUGCACUGGAGUCAUCCUGAUGUAUUGUAAACACAUUGGGCCCAGGAGUUCAUACAUAUGUAGAAAGUUUAUUUAUGGAAAUUCUUCAGAAGCUUGCUUGGGAUGAGUGGUCCUACUUAUUAGAAAUGACUUCUCCAAC
Molecule: long non-coding RNA, 4169 nt
Organism: Gallus gallus (chicken)
Lineage: Eukaryota; Metazoa; Chordata; Aves; Galliformes; Phasianidae
Source: Ensembl